AGCGAACGCUGGCGGCAGGCCUAACACAUGCAAGUCGAACGAACUCUUCGGAGUUAGUGGCGGACGGGUGAGUAACACGUGGGAACGUGCCUUUAGGUUCGGAAUAACUCAGGGAAACUUGUGCUAAUACCGAAUGUGCCCUUCGGGGAAAGGAUUUAUCGCCUUUAGAGCGGCCCGCGUCUGAUUAGCUAGUUGGUGAGGUAAAGGCUCACCAAGGCGACGAUCAGUAGCUGGUCUGAGAGGAUGAUCAGCCACAUUGGGACUGAGACACGGCCCAAACUCCUACGGGAGGCAGCAGUGGGGAAUCUUGCGCAAUGGGCGAAAGCCUGACGCAGCCAUGCCGCGUGGAUGAUGAAGGUCUUAGGAUUGUAAAAUUCUUUCACCGGGGACGAUAAUGACGGUACCCGGAGAAGAAGCCCCGGCUAACUUCGUGCCAGCAGCCGCGGUAAU
RNAcentral lists this ribosomal RNA (450 nucleotides) under uncultured bacterium. RNAcentral describes it as "bacterial SSU rRNA". It matches the Rfam family "Bacterial small subunit ribosomal RNA", at positions 29 to 524 of the family's 1533-position model. The record is from RNAcentral.